GCGGAUAUGGCGGAAUGGCAGACGCACAAGACUCAAAAUCUUGCGAGGGUGACUUCGUGUGGGUUCAAGUCCCACUAUCCGCAGCA
Molecule: transfer RNA, 86 nt
Filed under: Dorea sp. AM10-31
Lineage: Bacteria; Bacillati; Bacillota; Clostridia; Lachnospirales; Lachnospiraceae
Description: tRNA-Leu
Rfam family: tRNA
About the family: Transfer RNA (tRNA) molecules are approximately 80 nucleotides in length. Their secondary structure includes four short double-helical elements and three loops (D, anti-codon, and T loops).
Source: RNAcentral